Molecule: transfer RNA, 84 nt
Filed under: Pirellulaceae bacterium
Lineage: Bacteria; Pseudomonadati; Planctomycetota; Planctomycetia; Pirellulales; Pirellulaceae
Rfam family: tRNA
About the family: Transfer RNA (tRNA) molecules are approximately 80 nucleotides in length.
Source: Rfam by way of RNAcentral
GGGGAAUUACCCAAGCGGUCAAAGGGGACAGACUGUAAAUCUGUUGGCCUCGCGCCUUCGAAGGUUCGAAUCCUUCAUUCCCCA